AGAGUUUGAUCAUGGCUCAGGACGAACGCUUGCGGCGUGCCUGAGAAAUGCAAGUCGAGCGGGGUGUAGCAAUACACCUAGCGGCGAACGGUCGAGUAACACGUAAGCAACCUGCCCUGCAGUGGGGGAUAACAGCGGGAAACCGCUGCUAAUACCGCAUAGGCAUAUUCCUGGGCAUCCAGGGGUGUGUAAAGGCUAGACUGCUGCAGGAGGGGCUUGCGGCCUAUUAGCUAGUCGGUGGGGUAACGGCCUACCGAGGCGACGAUGGGUAGCUGGUCUGAGAGGAUGGUCAGCCGGAUCGGGACUGAGACACGGCCCGGACUCCUACGGGGGGCAGCAAUCAGGAAUAUUGCGCAAUGGGGGAAACCCUGACGCAGCGACGCCGCGUGCGGGAUGAAGGCCUUCGGGUCGUAAACCGCUGUUGUGGGAGAAGAAGGCCUGCCGACGAGGCAGGGGAGACGGUAUCUCACGAGAAAGCCCCGGCUAACUACGUGCCAGCAGCCGCGGUAAUACGUAGGGGGCGAGCGUUGUCCGAAGUUACUGGGCGUAAAGCGCGCGUAGGCGGCUCUUUAAGUGAUUGGUGAAAUCCCCGGGCUCAACCCGGGGUGGUCUGGUCAUACUGGGGAGCUAGAGUAUGGGAGGGGAGAGCGGAACUCCUGGUGUAGCGGUGAUAUGCGUAGAGAUCAGGAAGAACACCCGUGGCGAAGGCGGCUCUCUGGACCAUAACUGACGCUGAGGUGCGAAAGCCAGGGUAGCGAACGGGAUUAGAUACCCCGGUAGUCCUGGCCCUAAACGAUGGAUACUAGGUGUGGCGGGUAUCGACCCCUGCCGCGCCGCAGCUAACGCAAUAAGUAUCCCGCCUGGGGAGUACGGCCGCAAGGUUGAAACUCAAAUGAAUUGACGG
RNAcentral lists this ribosomal RNA (904 nucleotides) under uncultured bacterium. RNAcentral's name for it is "bacterial SSU rRNA". It matches the Rfam family "Bacterial small subunit ribosomal RNA", at positions 8 to 916 of the family's 1533-position model. The record is from RNAcentral.